CCUACGGGACGCACCAGUGGGGAAUAUUGGACAAUGGGCGAAAGCCUGAUCCAGCAAUGCCGCGUGUGUGAAGAAGGUCUUCGGAUUGUAAAGCACUUUCGACGGGGAGGAAGAUGACGGUACCCGUAGAAGAAGCCCCGGCUAACUUCGUGCCAGCAGCCGCGGUAAUACGAAGGGGGCUAGCGUUGCUCGGAAUGACUGGGCGUAAAGGGCGCGUAGGCGGUUUAUGCAGUCAGAUGUGAAAUCCCCGGGCUUAACCUGGGAACUGCAUUUGAGACGCAUAGACUAGAGGUCGAGAGAGGGUUGUGGAAUUCCCAGUGUAGAGGUGAAAUUCGUAGAUAUUGGGAAGAACACCGGUGGCGAAGGCGGCAACCUGGCUCGAUACUGACGCUGAGGCGCGAAAGCGUGGGGAGCAAACAGGAUUAGAUACCCGAGUAGUC
This 440-nucleotide ribosomal RNA is filed under the name uncultured bacterium. RNAcentral describes it as "bacterial SSU rRNA". It matches the Rfam family "Bacterial small subunit ribosomal RNA", at positions 338 to 795 of the family's 1533-position model. The record is from RNAcentral.